AGAACGAACGCUGGCGGCAUGCCUAAUACAUGCAAGUCGAACGAACUCUUCGGAGUUAGUGGCGCACGGGUGCGUAACGCGUGGGAAUCUACCCUUGGGUUCGGAAUAACAGUUGGAAACGACUGCUAAUACCGGAUGAUGUCGCAAGACCAAAGAUUUAUCGCCCAAGGAUGAGCCCGCGUAGGAUUAGCUAGUUGGUGAGGUAAAGGCUCACCAAGGCGACGAUCCUUAGCUGGUCUGAGAGGAUGAUCAGCCACACUGGGACUGAGACACGGCCCAGACUCCUACGGGAGGCAGCAGUGGGGAAUAUUGGACAAUGGGCGAAAGCCUGAUCCAGCAAUGCCGCGUGAGUGAUGAAGGCCUUAGGUGUAAAGCUCUUUACCCGGGAUGAUAAUGACAGUACCGGAGAAUAAGCUCCGGCUAACUCCGUGCCAGCAGCCGC
Molecule: ribosomal RNA, 442 nt
Filed under: uncultured soil bacterium
Lineage: Bacteria
Description: bacterial SSU rRNA
Rfam family: Bacterial small subunit ribosomal RNA
Source: RNAcentral